AUUACACCCCUGUCCGCCGCGCUCCGAUUCUCAUCUCCUCAAAACACCACUCUCCCUUCCCUCCACCACAAAUCCCUCGCCUCCAAAUCCGCCUACGAUUUCAACACUCUUGGACCCACUCGGUGCUCCCACCACUGGCCCCACCCUCGGCAUUUCUCUUCCAACAGAGAAGAAGACUGGAGAAGACACCGAAGAUACGGCAACGAAGAAAUGGGCAAGAGUACCGAGGAUGAUAUCGCUGGGAGAGCUUCCGCAUUAAAUUUGAAGACAGAGUUCCCGGCGGAGGAGAGAGAAGCGGAAUCGAAGGCGAUGGUUUACAAAGUAGUGCGCCCUCUUGAACGAUCCAAUCGGGGUAAUAUUUGCAGAUUGGAUCGCAGCAGUCCCAGCUGAGCAAUGGCAAUAGCAUUUUCCCCGAGAGAUAGAAGUUCUGCGAGUUGAAUGACAAGCCAGACCAUUAUUGCAGGCCAUUGUACCAGAUGCAGCUGUUCAUGCAGUCUUUGAAGAGCACGUGAGUGUGAAACUAAUCUUUGCUCUCUCUGACCUCUGACCUCUGUCUCUGUGUGUCUCUCUCUCUCUCACACACACACACACCGUGAAAGUCAUGUCAUGGCUUCUCUUAUUUUUACUGGGUUACUCUUUCUCUCGGGCACUAGAUGCAAAGGUAGUUAUAUUAAUAAAAAAAGAAAAGAGAGAAGUAAGAAUUGUCAUCGCACUAAAGGAUAACUGAUAUUCAAGGAAUUGAGAAACCUGAAAAAGAUUGUCACUGGGAAACCUUUAAAGGAUGCUGAGAAGAAGCUGGAAAAAGUUGCGGUUGCUGCUUUAAGAGGGAUUUAAUUCCCAAGGCUAUAAUUCAUUGACAAUAAUGGCUGUCCGUGCUUAAACUCCUGGGUUUUGACUUUUUGAUGCCUCAUGAUGAGCAUUCUCCCAUUCCUAAUUUGGACCAUAUACAUCUUGGAUGUCAAGUCAAGCAGGUAAUCAACUACCAACCAAUUAGGCAAAUCAUGUUGGGCCGUUUACAUUUUGUUCUCCUUUGUAUUAUUGUAGUUGGUAGUUCAAAUCAUUAAACCUUCCGGGGAUUUUUUUCCCAACUAGAGAGAUGAAUUCAAGAUCUUAAGAGAACUAAAUUUGCUCCUACCUAGAUUCUGCCGAAACCUGGGAGUCAAAAGCAUAUAUGUAGUGGCAAAAUUGUGUAAGAAAUCUUCCCAAAUCUUUCUAAAGUGGCACUUGUUUGGUUCUUGUACCAUUGCAUAAUGAUCAUAGCUGUACCUUGCAAUUGAUUCAUUUAUUUUACUUCUUCUAAAGUCAAAACUCGUGAGCUCGAGGGUGCUUCCUCCUGUCUUAUACCCUAGUCAAACCAUAAUCGAUUCUCCAGAGAAGUGGUUCUUGGAUGGCAGAGAUAUGAG
Molecule: long non-coding RNA, 1403 nt
Organism: Juglans microcarpa x Juglans regia
Lineage: Eukaryota; Viridiplantae; Streptophyta; Magnoliopsida; Fagales; Juglandaceae
Exons: 3
Source: RefSeq, a predicted model, not a curated record